AACGAACGCUGGCGGCAUGCCUAACACAUGCAAGUCGAACGAGACCUUCGGGUCUAGUGGCGCACGGGUGCGUAACGCGUGGGAACCUGCCCUUAGGUUCGGAAUAACUCCCCGAAAGGGGUGCUAAUACCGGAUAAUGUCUUCGGACCAAAGAUUUAUCGCCUUUGGAUGGGCCCGCGUUGGAUUAGCUAGUUGGUAGGGUAAAAGCCUACCAAGGCGACGAUCCAUAGCUGGUCUGAGAGGAUGAUCAGCCACACUGGGACUGAGACACGGCCCAGACUCCUACGGGAAGCAGCAAUGGGGAAUAUUGGACAAUGGGCGAAAGCCUGAUCCAGCAAUGCCGCGUGAGUGAUGAAGGCCUUAGGGUUGUAAAGCUCUUUUACCCGGGAUGAUAAUGACAGUACCGGGAGAAUAAGCUCCGGCUAACUCCGUG
Molecule: ribosomal RNA, 433 nt
Filed under: uncultured bacterium
Lineage: Bacteria
Description: partial 16S ribosomal RNA
Rfam family: Bacterial small subunit ribosomal RNA
Source: RNAcentral